CAAGCCACUGCAGUGACAACAACAGAUCGUUAACCCACUGAGCCCCCAGGGAACUCCUGGUCUGGCCUCUUUUAAGGGGUAGUGGUAGAGUGGUCAGCAGCUCCCAGAACUAUUCUUUCCUGGCCGGGACUGAGAUCUAGUUCUUAAUAGUUUGCAAAUAUACAUGGGUUCUUGAGGUGCUUGAGUUGGGGACAGGUUGGACUCCCUUUUGCCUGUUGGUCUGCCUCCCCAGGCUUUAGAACAUCUACCACCAUUCACUAAAGCUUUCUUUUGCCCUCAUCCCCAUGCUAAACCCUCUCUCCUCCUGGACUGCCCCUGCAUUCCUCAACUUCCCACUCCCUUCUUCCUGGGCAAAUAUUGUCCAGAACUGACAGCCCCAGAGGUGUCAGAAUAUGGCUCCAAGGCAAGGCAUAAUCACAGGGUGGAGACCCCCCACCUGCAUGGCUCCAAGGUCUGGAGGGAUGCUGACAAUUAUAGACCCUCAAGGCCUGAAGGAAUCAUCUUCCCUAAAGGCUUCUAAGGUGAAAAAGACUAGUUUGACACCUCUGUCUGGGGCUUUAAGAGUUAUUUUUGUCCUUGAAAUCUAAUAGUGGGUUAUUGGUAAUUAUAGGAAAAAAAUGGAGUGGAAAUAAAAGGUUUUGGGAAGACACUUUUUUCUGCAUCUAGUAUUAUAUUUUGAAUUUCCUACUCAGUUAGACACAACUCCUGACACCAUGACCUUUAUGAUUAUAGAAGAUAAAGGCCCCCAUCGUCCAUGGCCCUGUGAUUUCCACUUUGUUUUUAUCCCUCUAAGUAGCAUAAUUUCUUUGGAUAUUGCAGAGAAGGGAUGUUACCUAUAUGCUUGUUUCACAUACGUCAAGUUCAUUUGUGGUAAGGGCACACAGGGCCUAGUAGAUUGCCCUUCAUUGGUGCUUUAUUCAGAAUGCUCAGAUGAUUUGCUCUGUCAGACACUCUCAGUGGUUCCCUAUUCCUCCCAGACCAAAAGCCUCCCUCCUCCUCUGGGCCUCCUAUUUCCUCUUCACCCUCAGUCUCAGCCACUCUGCCUUAUUCAUUCAUUCAUUUCUCCGUUCAUCCCGUGUACAUGGACCCCAACUCUUCCAUGUUGCAGACCCUGUCCCAGGUUCUGGGGAUGUAGACAGGAAUGACACUAGCCUCUUCUCCAUCUGCCCUCUGUUUUCAAAGUUCUAAUAAGCCAUCAGAAGACAAAUAUGUAAACCCAAACCAUAAGAAGUAUUGUCUGUAAGAAUGUGAUGGAGAUCUGUUUCGAAAGAACAUUCAUCCCAUUGAUUUAAUCAUGAAAUAUGCAGCCCAAAUUCCCCCAAAAAACAGCACCUCCCGUGCAAACAGGAAAACUUUAGACAGCCCUGAAAUGUCACUAGUUAUUGCUGAGAGUCCUCAGGGAAUGAGUUUCAGGCUAGCAGAACCAUCUCUCACUUCAGGGACACCAAGGGGCUCUUAUCCUCUCCGCCUGCCCUGCUCUUUAGUGUCUCUUCCAUUCUCACUGUCCUGCUCCUUGUGGGGACACUGACUUCACAGGGUAGUGUCUGAGCAUUCCUGUACUUAAGGCUUUGGAGAGGUAGACCUGAAACAGGUCCUACUCAGAGGAUGAAAGCUCUGCCUCCAGUUCUGAGUCCCCAGAUCCCAAAGCAGCUGAGCUCUAAGCAGAUACUCCCAGAGCUCUUCCUGAGAUGAUACAGCCAUCUCUGCCUAUUUCUUCAGGCAGGUGACCAGGACCUAACCUGGGGUCAGAUUACAGGCAGAAGAUGUUGCAGCCUUCUCACCUCUGCCUCCUCAAAAUGCCUUAUGUCUUCCCUAGUUAAACAUAGAUGCUUCCAGUUUGCUGCUUGUUCUGCUAGCUGUAAACACAUACUUUAAUAGACACCAAAGGCCCUGGCAUCUGCACAUCAGGAGCAGGGGAUGCUGAACUCAGGAGCCAACUGAAAUCAGAAAACACUAAAGGUAGGAAUGCACGGAGACUCAAGUUGCAAAAGCCAGGAUAUAAUUCCUGAAAAAAAAGGUGGUGGGGGGGGAUUGUGUGGAAAUGGUGGGAAUCAGCUUAAAACAUAUUGAUUUGAUCUCAACUUUCAUAAUUAGAGAGAAAUGUAAAUGCACAUUUGGCAAACUAUUAGAACUAAAACCCACAGUUCUUAAUUACAAUUUACCACCAGAUGUAUAAGCAGAUAAUUUGUAUCUACAAAGACAGAAAACCAAGGCAGCAGUACCAAUGCCAAAAAAACAGAAAUCUUACAAUAAGAGGAUAUGAGUGGGGCAAGAUACAUGUGAACCCAAUAAUUAUAAAUUCCUUCACAUCUAAUGUUUAAAUUGAUGAUUUUCAUGUUGAGUUAAUGAUAAAUCUAAGAGAAUCACCUAAACAGGAUGGAAAAGGAAGAAAAGUUAUAAAUAAUAGGAUGGAUAAAGGCAAUACAAGAGAACACAACGAAAGAAGAUUAGUCUCAGAAAUAUUAACAUUGGUCUAUGUAUAAGCUAGAGACAAAAGCAUUAAAUAAUGGUCAAAGAAGUUUUAUCAGAUGUGAAAACAUUAAAAGGAGUUAACAUAGUGUGAGGAAACAGAGGCUACUGUCCUGGCAGAUUCUUUUUUUUUUUUUUUUAACCUCCCAAAUUCCCAACCCAUUCCACUCCCUUCCCCUCCUCUUUGGCAUUGUUUUUACCUAUAAAAGGGAAGGAGAAAUGGUCCAGGAAAUAUGGGAGUUAUUUGUCAAGGGAAGUUUAAAAAUAUAUACUCUACUGUAUUAUAUUUGAAAACAACAUGGGUUUCAUGGAGAACAAAGAAAAGUAAUGUAGAAGAAAUCAAAGGUCGCCCAUGAUCUCAGAAGCCAAGGGUUGGUGCUCCUUUAACAGUGUUUGGGGUGUGGUGGUUCUGGAGAGGAUUGCCCCUUAGAAGGCCUGGGUGAGAGAGGAAGAAGGAAGGGAGAAUGACCACCCACAGAGGAGAGGAGCUGAGGGGUGAGCACGGUCACUGCUUACCUCCCUUCCUACUCCUGCACCACAUUGUCUAGAAACAUAAGGAUUUUGUCCCAAACUGCCUUAUUUUCCCCUGGAAGGAAGGCCCAAUAUCACUGAGUGGCUGUGAUUUGCAAUGAGGAAAAGAAAAAGGGGGAAAGGAGCAGAGUGAUGGACAGUAUUCCAACUUUAUUUUUUAAAUAACAAUUACAUUUGCUUUAAAACAUCAGAAAAAAUGCAAAACUAUCUGAGUUCCUGUCAUGGCUCAGAGGGAUAAGGUCCUGAAGUUGUCUCUGUAAGGAUGCGUGUCUGAUUCUUGGUCUUGCUCAGUGGGUUAGGGAUCCAGCUUCUCUGCUACCUGAGGUGUAGGGGCAUAGUUCGCAGAUGAGGCUUAGAUCUAGUGUUGCCAUGGCUGCAUGUCCAAUUUGACCCCGAACCCAGGAACACUAGCCCUUAAUUUUGUUGAAAUCUUUUUUACUCUUCCUCUUGAAAAGUUCCAAAAUAUAGUACAUUGUAUCUUCCAUCCUUAAAAAAAUGUGUUCCUUUUUCACUAUAGGCAGUUCACCCGAGGCAAAGUUAGUUGCUUUUAGUGUGUUAUAUAAUUUUGCUGAAUAUCAAACUGAUUUUCACAAGUUUUCAUCCUAGUCCUCAAAUUAAUAACAUGACUGUUUUCUUAUGACCUAAUUUUGAUUGUUUUAUUAAUAAAAGCUAAUGGAAAAGGAUCCUUUAACAAAAAAAAAUGGAGCCAAGUCAAGGGAGGGAGGAGACUAAAAACCCAAGGCCUCAUUUGUGAUUUCUGUCCCCAUGUUUAGAGAAAGAAGAGGAAGAGGAGGAUGGAAGAAAGGGACUUAGAGAUGGGCCAGCGUGAAGGGGGUGGGAGAAGAGAAAGGCCAAUGGAAAAGGGGAGCCCAGAUCAAGUCCUAGAAGGAAGAAACUACUUAAACCAGGCUGAGUGGGCAGCUUAAAGGUACCUGGAAGGUAAGCUUGCUUAAUUUUAGUGCUUCCGCAUUUGAUUAGCACAGGUCAAUCCCCAAAUGGAGGUUGCUUCAGUGAGAGGGCUGGGCAGUCACCAAGAGCCCACCCAAGGGGAAUGUAUGCUGAGUGAAGGAUGAGAUUGAAUCCAACACCAUCCCCAAGAAAGCCUCUGUUUCCUAUGAGGAAUAAGGCAAUUUGAUUUUUCACACCAAUGCCAGCUUUCUCAGGCUAGAGGUAGUCCACCAAAUAUAGAGGAAAAGGACCUUUUUAAUUUGUGUCUUUUAUGCCAGCAAUCGUUUUACAAUAACAAAAAAGCCGUGCUCCCUAAUAAAUCUCUGGGAUUGAGAACAGAAAGUACAGAAGUAGGAAAAGUGGUAGGUGGGAAAUCUGGCUUAAGUGUGCUUUUGGCCGCGUCUUCUGGAUAAUUAUAAUGGAGUCUGCUUCUCCCCCAUCCAUGCCUGUCAUCCUCAGUAUUAAAUUACAGUGAUGAUGAUGAUUACUGAUAAUUAUCGCUUUCAUGUACUCGGCAUUUUCAACUUUCUAAUGUACUUACACGUGGAUCCCUUCCCCGUGAUCCUGGGAGACAGAAAGGGCAGGCUUUGCUCCACCCAUCUUUGUGAUGAGCAAGGCUGUGGUUUCCUUGCCCUGGUUCACCCAGUUUGUUGGGGA
RNAcentral lists this long non-coding RNA (4605 nucleotides) under Sus scrofa (pig). RNAcentral's name for it is "lncRNA (ENSSSCG00035027341.1)". Lineage: Eukaryota; Metazoa; Chordata; Mammalia; Artiodactyla; Suidae. The record is from RNAcentral.